RNAcentral lists this long non-coding RNA (1445 nucleotides) under Macaca fascicularis (crab-eating macaque). Its description in RNAcentral is "lncRNA (ENSMFAG00000060732.1)". The record is from RNAcentral. Lineage: Eukaryota; Metazoa; Chordata; Mammalia; Primates; Cercopithecidae.
UUUUUUUUUCAUACGCCUGUUGGCUGCAUAUAUGUCUCCUUUUGAAAAGUGUCUGUUCACAUCCUUCACUCACUUUUUUUUUUAAGUUACAGGGCACAUGUGCAGGAUGCACAGGUUACAUAAAUGUGUACCGUAGUGGUUUGCAGCACCUAUCAACCCAUGUUCUAAGUAUUAAGCUCAGCAUGCAUUAGCUAUUUAUCCUGAUGGCUCCCUCCUCCUGCCCUCACCUUGACAGGCCCCAGUGUGUGUUGUUCCCCUCCGUUUCCAUGUGUUGUCUUUGUUCAGCUCCUCCUUAUAAGAUCACAUGGUGUUUGGUUUUCUGUUCCUGCGUUAGUUUGCUGAGGAUAAUGGCUUCCAGCUCCAUCCAUGUCCCUGCAAAGGACAGGAACUCAUUCCUUUUUGUCCUUUGCCCACUUUUUAAUGGGGUUGUUUUUUUCUUGUAAAUUGGUUUAAGUUCCUUAUAGACGCUGGAUAUUACACCUUUCUCAGAAGCAUAAUUUGCAAAAGUUUUCUCAUUCUGUAGGUUGUCUGUUUAUUCUGUUGACAGUUUCUUUUGCUGCAUAGACACUCUUUAGCUUAAUUAGAUUCCAUUUGUCAAUUUUUGCUUUUGUUGAAAUUGCUUUUGGUGUCUUUGUCAUAAAAUCUUUGCCUGCUCCUAUGUCCAGAAUGGUAUUGCUCAGGUUGUUUUACAGGGUUUUUAUAGUGUUGGGUUUUACAUUUAGCCUUUAGUCCAUCUUUAGGUGAUUUUUGUAUUUGGUAUAAGGAAGAGGUCCAGUCUCAGUCUUCUGCAUAUGGCUAGCCAGUUAUCCCAGCACCAUUUAUUGAAUAUGGAGUCCUUUCCCCAUUGCUUAUUCUUGUCAGCUUCGUCAAAUGUCAGAUAGUUGUAGGUGCAAGGCCUUAUUUCUGGGCUCUCCAUUCUGUUCCAAUGGUUUAUGUGUCUGUUUUUGUACCAGUACCAUGCUGUUUUAGUUAUUAUAGCCCUAGAGUAUGGUUUGAAGUCAGGUAACACGAUGCUCUCAGCUUUGUUCUUUUCGCUCAGGAUUUUCUUGUGUUUUGGGCUCUUUUUUGGUUCCAUAUGAAUUUUUAAAUAGUAUUUUUCUAGUUCUGUGAAGAAUGUCAUUGGUAGUUUGAUAGGAAUAGCAUUGAAUCUAUAAAUUGCUUUGAGCAGUAUGGCCAUUUUAACAGUAUUGAUUCUUCCUAUCCAUUAGCAUGGAAUAUUUUUCCAUUUGUUUAUGUUAUCUCUGAUUUAUUUGAAAAGUGUUUUGUAGUCCUCCUUACAGAGAGCUUUCACCACCCUGGUUAGCUAUAUUCCUAGGUACUUUAUUCUUUUGUGGCAAUUGUGAAUGGGACUGUGCUCUUGAUUUGGCUCUUGGCCACAUUGGUGGAAAGUAAUUCUAGUUUAGUUAAUGUUGUUCUAAAGUAAUGCUAGUGAUUUUUGUACCUUG